AUGUUAAAGGCAAUACCAGGGCAAGGGAGAGCAGUAAACCAGAGGGGCCGCAAUCAGCUCCUGGCUAGAGGUCAGGAACGCGGAGCUGAGCUGGGUCAGGAGGACCAAAGGGGUGAGCCAGGCCAAAUGCAGGGCUGAGAAGGCAAAAACUCUAGAAGAAGCUGCUUAAGAGAGGCUCGUCUUAAUGAGAGACAAGUACACUAGAAAAUAUUGCCUGCUAACAGUAUUCAUAAGCUGCUCCCAAAAUGUUUUGAUUAAACUGCUGUUGUCUUUCUAGUGUACUAAUGGUUUUUAAUCUCUCUUGAUGCCUUGGGUCUGAAAGUCAAUGAAGACUCCCUUCUCUUACUAGCUAUCAUCANUAUCCUAUAAAUCUCCCCCUUUCUCAGAUGCGCAUCACUAUUGUCACUGCAAUACUAAUUCCAAAUUUUACUAAAUAUACAUAAAAGUACCUCACCCCUAUUGUUCUGGCUAUAAUCUGACCACCUACGGAAACUGUAUUGCCCUAAUCUCUUUAUGCAAAUGCCUUAGCGAAGACGACUAACAGGCGCUUUAUCACAGUGUAUCACUUACAUCAGUCAUAGUAUGACUUUGAUUAUCUCAAGCAUUGAUNNCCAAGAGCACUGGAAAUAUCAACCUAAGCUGCAGUCACGUCCUCGAAUAAUCUCCUCCGUGCGCUCGCCUUUCAACCUUGAUAAUUUGUUACAGCCUCCUUACAUGAACUCACAAAUAUUUAUUAAUACCANNUACGUCUUUAUGAGAUAAUCAUCGUUAUUCAUUUUUUCCUAGAAAUGACUUGCUAAUNNAUGAUAAUAACAUCUGCCUAUCCGAUUUCGUACUAAUACCAAUGUGUACAAGCAACUUUUACUUUUCCUGGAAGCGGUAAAUAAAGUUUUAAUUUCAGAACCUUAAUCCCUAUCAGNNNCAUCAUGNNCGUUAUUUAAANAAAAGUAACAGGCCCCCUGCCCCUUUAAUUUUCUUCAAAAAUGCAGGCACUUGCUAAUCCGAUAAUCCAAUUUCCUGGGAUUACCUGGGUUUACAA
This 1039-nucleotide unclassified non-coding RNA is filed under the name uncultured Mycoplasma sp. Its description in RNAcentral is "partial 16S-23S ribosomal RNA intergenic spacer". Lineage: Bacteria; Bacillati; Mycoplasmatota; Mollicutes; Mycoplasmatales; Mycoplasmataceae. The record is from RNAcentral.